GUCACCACGUCCAUAUAAUAAACUCCACAGGCAUGAAAACUGAGAAUUAGGUAGACUGGACAUUGCUGCCGCUCACGGUGAAGGAAUUUCGUCAAUAGGACCUGUACUUUUCAUUUGGGAACGAUUUGUUUCGGCCUAACUUUUCUGUUCAUUUUAAGCAGCAAAAGUGAGGUGCAUGUCUGUGUGCGUGUGUAUGGAGCCCCUGGCUCAGUCACUAUAGCAACCAGGCUCACACCUGCCUGCCUAACGAGCUCUCUCUCACUCUGCCAAGAUUCAUCUUGAACACUUCUCUUUCAACUGCUGCUGUGUCCACA
This is a long non-coding RNA of Oreochromis aureus, 314 nucleotides long. NCBI's taxonomy places the organism in Eukaryota, Metazoa, Chordata, Actinopteri, Cichliformes, Cichlidae. The record is from Ensembl.